RNAcentral lists this long non-coding RNA (522 nucleotides) under Cervus hanglu yarkandensis (Yarkand deer). Its description in RNAcentral is "lncRNA (ENSCHYG00000022303.1)". The record is from RNAcentral. Lineage: Eukaryota; Metazoa; Chordata; Mammalia; Artiodactyla; Cervidae.
GCUGCUGGAGACCUGUCACACAUCCAGGAGUGCUUUGGAGUUUACCUCUUCGCAGUCUGGAGCAAAAUGAAAGAGCUGAUGUCGAGGCCUCCCAAGUAGUGCUGCUACAGACCAUGAGCAAGAGAGAAGGAGGAGACGUUGGUCUGCACGAACGAUCCUGAAACGCAAAUGGUCUUGGCCCGGCCUUGGAUGAUCCAGAAGAGAUGUGGUGUUUGCUUUUGGGGCGUCUCCUGAAGGGCUUUGCUGGAGGAUCCACAACCGGCAGAGCAUCAGACAGCUAGUUCAAGUCAGAAACUAAACCGAAGAACUCACAGAAGUCUGGCUGGCCGAGGAGGGAACAAGUCUAGGCUUUUCACAUUGACUUUCUCUACUGCCUCUCCUUCUGCUCAAACAAAUUCUGUCUGAGAAGAUCUGAUGGGAAGGAGCUGACUGCUUAGAAUUUUCCAUUGUGAUGAAAGCAUAUGGUACAGGUAAAUAUCUCUGACAUCUUUAACCAAAAAUAGCUCUCAUUUAAUUGUAAAA